RNAcentral lists this ribosomal RNA (497 nucleotides) under uncultured bacterium. Its description in RNAcentral is "partial 16S ribosomal RNA". It matches the Rfam family "Bacterial small subunit ribosomal RNA", at positions 28 to 507 of the family's 1533-position model. The record is from RNAcentral.
GAUGAACGCUGGCGGCGUGCCUAAUACAUGCAAGUCGAGCGAACAGAUGAGGAGCUUGCUCCUCUGACGUUAGCGGCGGACGGGUGAGUAACACGUGGAUAACCUACCUAUAAGACUGGGAUAACUUCGGGAAACCGGAGCUAAUACCGGAUAAUAUAUUGAACCGCAUGGUUCAAUAGUGAAAGACGGUUUUGCUGUCACUUAUAGAUGGAUCCGCGCCGCAUUAGCUAGUUGGUAAGGUAACGGCUUACCAAGGCAACGAUGCGUAGCCGACCUGAGAGGGUGAUCGGCCACACUGGAACUGAGACACGGUCCAGACUCCUACGGGAGGCAGCAGUAGGGAAUCUUCCGCAAUGGGCGAAAGCCUGACGGAGCAACGCCGCGUGGGUGAUGAAGGUCUUCGGAUCGUAAAACUCUGUUAUUGGGGAAGAACAAAUGUGUAAGUAACUAUGCACGUCUUGACGGUACCUAAUCAGAAAGCCACGGCUAACUACGUG